This 498-nucleotide ribosomal RNA is filed under the name uncultured bacterium. RNAcentral describes it as "partial 16S ribosomal RNA". It matches the Rfam family "Bacterial small subunit ribosomal RNA", at positions 29 to 507 of the family's 1533-position model. The record is from RNAcentral.
AGCGAACGCUGGCGGCGUGCCUAACACAUGCAAGUCGAACGUGAAAAGGGAAACCUGAGUAAAGUGGCGUACGGGUGAGUAACGCGUAGGUAAUCUACCCCAGAAUCUGGAAUAACCUGCCGAAAGGCGGGCUAAUACUGGAUAGAGCGAGGGAACUCUUAAGAGAGUUUUUCGGGAAAGGGAGGCCGCAAGGGCCUUCGUUCUGGGAUGAGCCUGCGUCUCAUUAGCUAGUUGGUAAGGUAACGGCUUACCAAGGCGAGGAUGAGUAGCUGGUCUGAGAGGAGGAUCAGCCACACUGGAACUGAAACACGGUCCAGACUCCUACGGGAGGCAGCAGUGGGGAAUCUUGCGCAAUGGACGAAAGUCUGACGCAGCCACGCCGCGGGAGUGGAGAAGGCCUUCGGGUUGUAAAGCUCUGUCGGAUGGGAAGAACAUCUUCAUAGUGAAUAGCUAUGAGGACUGACGGUACCAUCAAAGGAAGCACCGGCUAACUACGUG